UACAGGGGGUGCAAACGUUGCUCGGAAUUAUUGGGCGUAAAGCGCACGUAGGCGGUUUGUUAUGUCGGAUGUGAAAGCCCUUGGCUCAACUGAGGAAGUGCAUCCGAAACUGGCAAGCUAGAGUAUGUAAGAGGGUCGCGGAAUUCCCGGUGUAGAGGUGAAAUUCGUAGAUAUCGGGAGGAACACCUGUGGCGAAGGCGGCCCCCUGGUUGGAUACUGACGCUGAGACGCGAAAGCGUGGGGAGCAAACAGG
RNAcentral lists this ribosomal RNA (253 nucleotides) under uncultured bacterium. RNAcentral's name for it is "partial 16S ribosomal RNA". It matches the Rfam family "Bacterial small subunit ribosomal RNA", at positions 524 to 776 of the family's 1533-position model. The record is from RNAcentral.